Non-coding RNA from Prunus avium (sweet cherry), 91 nucleotides. NCBI's taxonomy places the organism in Eukaryota, Viridiplantae, Streptophyta, Magnoliopsida, Rosales, Rosaceae. The record is from RefSeq and is a predicted model, not a curated record.
UAUUUCUUACAAUAAUUUUUCUGAGAGCUCUGAGCCAACUACUUGCCGAGAAACCCUAAACCUGUUUGAAAGCUUUUCUGCACAAAGAAAC